This is a long non-coding RNA of Cyprinus carpio carpio, 1279 nucleotides long. The record is from Ensembl. NCBI's taxonomy places the organism in Eukaryota, Metazoa, Chordata, Actinopteri, Cypriniformes, Cyprinidae.
GACUUCCUUUUCGGACUAAGCUGAAAUCAUGGACGCCAGCCGCGUGCAGCCCAUCAAACUCGCUAGAGUUACUAAAGUGCUGGGAAGAACCGGCUCCCAGGGACAGUGUACCCAGGUGCGCGUUGAGUUCAUGGAUGACAGCAAUAGAUCCAUCAUCAGGAACGUGAAGGGCCCAGUAAGAGAAGGAGAUGUCCUGACACUUCUGGAGUCUGAAAGAGAGGCCAGGAGGCUUCGCUAGGUCAGUAAACAUCAUUCACAGCUGUAAAUAUAUCAUCAAUUUAUACCGCAGAUUCUCCUGUCAUAUGUUUUAGAUGGGAAAGAUAAUGCUUAGAAAUAAAGCAACGGGUUUUAAUGUAAAAAGGAUUUUUAUGCAUAAGAAGCAAUUAAGUUUUAAUACUCAGUAAAUCUGACUGAAGAGUGUCUAAAAAGUUCUCUCUCCCAGUUUUCAAAUUAUGCUAAAUGUCUGUUGUGUGCUAGACUCUAUAUCAAUAUCAGUCACAGUAAAUUGCCACAGUGACUUGAAGACCCUUUUCCAGUCGGUAUUGUGGAUGGAUAUGGAUGUGCUUGAUGUUUUUUAUAACCAUUUGUCUGUUUCUCCCAGCAGUGCACAUGUGAAGACCUGCAUUGGCCAAAGCAUCAACAUCAGCUCUACAGUUGGCAGUACAAUAUCAUUUGUGCGCAGUUUGAAAUAAAGUGUCUUUGUGAAUAAGUUGGUCUCCUCCUCAAUUUGUUUUUAUUAUGAAUAAUGUUUAAUUUUAUCUUGAGUUUUACGAUUGCUAUAAAGUACUAAUGGCACGUUUCCCCAGUUUAAUGUGAGAUACAGUCAGAUCCAAACCAGAUCAAAGCAAUUCAAUUUUGUGUACUCUAGAAUUUAGAUGUCAAGUGAUUUGUGUGUGUAUAGAGUGAGAUUUCAAACUAUGUAUCUGAUUCUGAAUCCCAACUAAAUAUCAACUGUAUUGGGCUUUAAACAGGGUAUCUGCGGGUCCUUAAAAAUUCUUUAAAUAUUUUUGGUCACAUUACCGCUAAAAUAUCUGAAGUCUGAUGGAGCUAAUGACUGUUUACAAUCAUUGGAAAGACCCUCGCGGUAGUUACUGCAUCAUCAGCAAGAAUGGCAGUAGCAGAAUACAGGUCGAACUACCUUCUUAAUUUACUCAAUAAUAGUAGUAAUAAUAAUAAUAUAGGUCGAGCUACAGCUGAUGAGCCUUCUAGCUAUUUAUUUAGCUGGUUAUUUUUUUUACUUGCCUGUCCGGAAAAAUAGCCUGAUUAAAACAUAAGUGAC